This 376-nucleotide ribosomal RNA is filed under the name Chiromantes haematocheir. RNAcentral describes it as "partial 12S ribosomal RNA". Lineage: Eukaryota; Metazoa; Arthropoda; Malacostraca; Decapoda; Sesarmidae. The record is from RNAcentral.
UUUAGGAAAAAAUUUUAAACUAGAUUAGUAUUAGUUAAAUACUUAAAAAUUAAAAGAUUUGGCGGUGAUUUAAUCUUUUCAGAGGAAUUUGUUUUUUAAUCGAUAAUCCACGAAAAAUCUUACUUGUUUUUGUUGAAUAAUAUCAGUUUGUAUACCAUCAUUAUCAGAUAAUUCUAAAAAGAAAAAUUAUCAAAAUAAAUAACUAUUAAAAUUAGAUCAUGGUGCAGCCUAUAAACAAGGUAAAAUGAAUUACAAUAAAUUAUUUUAUAAUGAAUUAAUAAAGUAAUUUUUAUUAUGAAGGAGGAUUUGAUAGUAUUAUAAAUUUAAUAAGUUUAUAAGAUAGUGGCUCUAAAUCACGCACAAGUCGCCCGUCGCU